GUGCCAGCCGCCGCGGUAAGACGAACCGUGCGAACGUUGUUCGGAUUCAUUGGGCUUAAAGGGCGCGUAGGCGGGUGCUCAAGUCGGUGGUGAAAGCCCACGGCCCAACCGUGGAAGUGCCUCCGAUACUGGACGCCUGGAGGGAGGUAGGGGUGCGUGGAACUUCCGGUGGAGCGGUGAAAUGCGUAGAUAUCGGAAGGAACGCCGGUGGCGAAAGCGACGCACUGGACCUCUUCUGACGCUGAGGCGCGAAAGCCAGGGGAGCAAACGGGAUUAGAAACCCCAGUAGUCC
This 292-nucleotide ribosomal RNA is filed under the name uncultured bacterium. RNAcentral's name for it is "partial 16S ribosomal RNA". It matches the Rfam family "Bacterial small subunit ribosomal RNA", at positions 505 to 796 of the family's 1533-position model. The record is from RNAcentral.